GUGCUCGCUUAGGCAGCACAAAUACUAAAAUUGGAACGAUACAGAGAAGAUUAGCAUGGCCCCUGCGCAACGAUGACGCACAAAUUCAUGAAGCAUUCCAGAACUAU
This is a small nuclear RNA of Cercocebus atys (sooty mangabey), 107 nucleotides long. The record is from Ensembl. Lineage: Eukaryota; Metazoa; Chordata; Mammalia; Primates; Cercopithecidae.